Molecule: ribosomal RNA, 254 nt
Filed under: uncultured bacterium
Lineage: Bacteria
Description: partial 16S ribosomal RNA
Rfam family: Bacterial small subunit ribosomal RNA
Source: RNAcentral
UACGAAGGGGGCUAGCGUUGUUCGGAAUUACUGGGCGUAAAGCGCACGUAGGCGGACAUUUUAAGUCAGGGGUGAAAUCCCGGGGCUCAACCCCGGAACUGCCUUUGAUACUGGGUGUCUUGAGUCCGGAAGAGGUGAGUGGAAUUGCGAGUGUAGAGGUGAAAUUCGUAGAUAUUCGCAGGAACACCAGUGGCGAAGGCGGCUCACUGGUCCGGUACUGACGCUGAGGUGCGAAAGCGUGGGGAGCAAACAGG